This 404-nucleotide ribosomal RNA is filed under the name Actinomycetes bacterium. RNAcentral describes it as "Actinobacteria bacterium partial 16S ribosomal RNA". It matches the Rfam family "Bacterial small subunit ribosomal RNA", at positions 355 to 776 of the family's 1533-position model. Lineage: Bacteria; Bacillati; Actinomycetota; Actinomycetes. The record is from RNAcentral.
UGGGGAAUAUUGGACAAUGGGCGCAAGCCUGAUCCAGCCAUGCCGCGUGAGUGAUGAAGGCCCUAGGGUUGUAAAGCUCUUUCACCGGUGAAGAUAAUGACGGUAACCGGAGAAGAAGCCCCGGCUAACUUCGUGCCAGCAGCCGCGGUAAUACGAAGGGGGCUAGCGUUGUUCGGAUUUACUGGGCGUAAAGCGCACGUAGGCGGACUUUUAAGUCAGGGGUGAAAUCCCGGGGCUCAACCCCGGAACUGCCUUUGAUACUGGAAGUCUUGAGUAUGGUAGAGGUGAGUGGAAUUCCGAGUAUAGAGGUGAAGUUCGUAGAUAUUCGGAGGAACACCAGUGGCGAAGGCGGCUCACUGGACCAUUACUGACGCUGAGGUGCGAAAGCGUGGGGAGCAAACAGG